RNAcentral lists this long non-coding RNA (571 nucleotides) under Nicotiana tabacum (common tobacco). RNAcentral describes it as "long non-coding RNA (NTAB_LNC018421)". The record is from RNAcentral. Lineage: Eukaryota; Viridiplantae; Streptophyta; Magnoliopsida; Solanales; Solanaceae.
AAUUGCUGUGCCAAGUCUGUAGAUCUCGUUACUCUCAAGUGUUUUUCUUUUCAUCUGUUUUUGUUUUAUUCCGAUGUGAUCAUGGAGGAAUACCGUUGUCGAUCUUGGAUGGGAUUUUAAUUGCAGUCAAGGAUGACAUUGAUUGCUAUUCUCAUCCUUCAAAGGGUAUGUGUUUAACUUCCCAUUUCCUCUGCGAAUAUCUCGGCCAUUUUUAGCUGAAAAUAUUUCCCUGUAAAAAAGAGCAGGUGGUUCUACAUGGUUUAUGAGGUUCGCCAGGUAAAGGCAGAUGCAGUGGCGUUGGAGAUAGCAUUCUAUGUCAUGAGUUACCAAGAAGUGUAUUAGAAGGGAGUGUAUUAUUAUCCUAAAUCAGGAUUUAUGCCAUGUAACAAAAUCUCAAGUAGCACCUCUAUUACUUGCAUGGAAUGCAUAUGUGCAUUUUACUUUCAAGGAAAAUAGUGGAGGAUAAGAAAUUCAACUAAACCUACAAUUUUUUAAAUUGACUAGAAAAACAGCAGAACAUAUAUUUUCUAUGCUUUGUCUUCUGCGACAAAAACUAACAAAGAUCAUUCCC